RNAcentral lists this ribosomal RNA (486 nucleotides) under uncultured bacterium. RNAcentral describes it as "partial 16S ribosomal RNA". It matches the Rfam family "Bacterial small subunit ribosomal RNA", at positions 30 to 507 of the family's 1533-position model. The record is from RNAcentral.
AUUGAACGCUGGCGGCAUGCCUUACACAUGCAAGUCGAACGGCAGCACGGGUGCUUGCACCUGGUGGCGAGUGGCGAACGGGUGAGUAAUACAUCGGAACAUGUUCUGUAGAGGGGGAUAGCCCGGCGAAAGCCGGAUUAAUACCGCAUACGAUCUUCGGAUGAAAGCGGGGGACCUUCGGGCCUCGCGUUAUAGGGUUGGCUGAUGGCUGAUUAGCUAGUUGGUGGGGUAAAGGCCUACCAAGGCGACGAUCAGUAGCUGGUCUGAGAGGACGACCAGCCACACUGGGACUGAGACACGGCCCAGACUCCUACGGGAGGCAGCAGUAGGGAAUUUUGGACAAUGGGCGAAAGCCUGAUCCAGCAAUGCCGCGUGUGUGAAGAAGGCCUUCGGGUUGUAAAGCACUUUUGUCCGGAAAGAAAACCUUGGCCCUAAUCCGGUCAGGGGAUGACGGUACCGGAAGAAUAAGCACCGGCUAACUACGUG